Molecule: ribosomal RNA, 253 nt
Filed under: uncultured bacterium
Lineage: Bacteria
Description: partial 16S ribosomal RNA
Rfam family: Bacterial small subunit ribosomal RNA
Source: RNAcentral
UACAGAGGUCCCAAGCGUUGUUCGGAUUCACUGGGCGUAAAGGGUGCGUAGGUGGUCAGGUAAGUCUGAUGUGAAAUCUCUGGGCUCAACCCAGAAACUGCAUUGGAUACUAUCUGGCUAGAGGAGUGGAGGGGGGACUGGAAUACUUGGUGUAGCAGUGAAAUGCGUAGAUAUCAAGUGGAACACCAGUGGCGAAGGCGAGUCCCUGGACACUUCCUGACACUGAGGCACGAAAGCUAGGGGAGCGAACAGG